GACGAACGCUGGCGGCGUGCUUAACACAUGCAAGUCGAACGGAAAGGCCCUGCUUUUGUGGGGUGCUCGAGUGGCGAACGGGUGAGUAACACGUGAGUAACCUGCCCUUGACUGUGGGAUAACUUCAGGAAACUGGGGCUAAUACCGGAUAGGAGCUCCUGCUGCAUGGGGGGGGUUGGAAAGUUUCGGCGGUUGGGGAUGGACUCGCGGCUUAUCAGCUUGUUGGGGGGGUAGUGGCUUACCAAGGCUUUGACGGGUAGCCGGCCUGGGAGGGUGACCAGCCACAUUGGGACUGAGAUACGGAGCAGACUCCUACGGGAGGCAGCGGUGGGGAAUAUUGCACAAUGGGCGGAAGCCUGAUGCAGAGACGCCGCGUGCGGAAUGACGGCCUUCGGGUUGUAAACCGCUUUCGCCUGUGACGAAGCGUGAGUGACGGUAAUGGGUAAAGAAGCACCGGCUAACUACGUG
Molecule: ribosomal RNA, 468 nt
Filed under: uncultured bacterium
Lineage: Bacteria
Description: partial 16S ribosomal RNA
Rfam family: Bacterial small subunit ribosomal RNA
Source: RNAcentral